CCCAUUCACAUCAAACAAAAAAUUCCCUUAUCGUAAACUUGGGAUUACCCAACAAAUAUUUAAUUUUUUCCAUAAAUUUGUUCACAUCGUUUUUGCUGGGGAGUUGCUUUAAACAUGAGCCGAAGUGUGAACAAUAAUCAACACGAGAUUUUGCUCAACAAAAUGCAAAAUAACAGCACAAUUGCGUGUGGCUUUGUCAAAAUUUAAAAAGACGUAAUGACAGAAUUUUGGAAUAGUCUUAAGUUGAUCUCAUUUGAUCUUGUUUUAUUAUUACAUUUGUAAGUGGUUUUUAUUAAUUAAUCUUAUAUAUAAAAAUCAA
Long non-coding RNA from Stomoxys calcitrans (stable fly), 319 nucleotides. RefSeq lists it as uncharacterized. The transcript has 2 exons. NCBI's taxonomy places the organism in Eukaryota, Metazoa, Arthropoda, Insecta, Diptera, Muscidae. The record is from RefSeq and is a predicted model, not a curated record.